RNAcentral lists this unclassified non-coding RNA (244 nucleotides) under uncultured Sporormiaceae. RNAcentral's name for it is "sequence contains ITS2". Lineage: Eukaryota; Fungi; Ascomycota; Dothideomycetes; Pleosporales; Sporormiaceae. The record is from RNAcentral.
AACGCACAUUGCGCCCUUUGGUAUUCCUUAGGGCAUGCCUGUUCGAGCGUCAUUUUAACCCUCAAGCUCAGCUUGGUGAUGGGCGCCUGUCCGCUCCGGCGGACUCGCCUCGAAAACAUUGGCGGCCGGUACGUUGGCUUCGAGCGCAGCAGAAACGCGGUCUCGGAGCCCGGCGGAUCGGCCCUCCACAAGCCACCCCCCAAAUUUUGACCUCGGAUCAGGUAGGGAUACCCGCUGAACUUAA